RNAcentral lists this small RNA (908 nucleotides) under Homo sapiens (human). The record is from RNAcentral. Lineage: Eukaryota; Metazoa; Chordata; Mammalia; Primates; Hominidae.
UUUCAGGUUGGCUGCAGAAGGUCCGAAGAAAGAGGAGUUACUGGAGGAAAAAGUGGUUCAGAGGUGACUAUUCAACCGCAUAAGAGAUGGUGAAAAUUAACCUAUCACCACUGCUAAUGAACAUCACCCUAUGGAGAACCGGAGACACAAAAGGGAAGAUUCAGAAUGUGUGACUUGUAUAAAAUAAAACCAGUUUCCCCCGACCCCAACACCUUCUUUGAACAUCUCUUUCUCCACCUCUCAAAAAAUUUCCUACUGAGUUGGUCCUCUAGUGAAAAGAGCAGUUAAUAAGAUGGAAAGCAACUGGACGUGGUGAAGAAAAAGCCAGCGAACUUAGGGGUGAGACUGAAGCCCCUCAGGGUGGCUGAGCUGCUAUUUGAAAAAUUCCUUCAAGUCACGUGCGGCCUGUCAAGAGAUGAGGUGAAGGAAGAGAAUGAUAAAUAUCUAUCUCCAGUGGAAGGAUCAUUUUGAAAGAAGGGCUGUUAGAUUAAAAACCAAGCUAGCCAGGGAACGUUAAAGGAAGAGAAGUUCUCACAAGCAUUUUAAUGCCAAGCAUGUGUUCCAACGAGAGGAACACAGGAAAGCUCUUCAGCAGAUGAGAAAAUGAAAUUCGGCAUCACUAAUUCAUAGGAAUGAUAACAAAAACGGCAGUGAAGAAAAUCUGUGCAUUUUAAAAAAUGCAUGUUUUUUGCUUAGUGUUGUCCCUUCCCCUCCUGGCUUUUAGUAUACUGCAUUCAUUAAAGUAGCUGAGAAGAAAAAUAGUAGAUGCUGUUAACGUCAGGCCUGAGAGCUUCCAUAUCCUGUGUUGCGUUGAGUUUUGGGUUUGUUUCCUUAUUCACUGUCUUCUAGAUCUCAGACCCUAGCAGAAGGUCUCAGAAUGGACCUAGUAAACUUUGGUCAUACCUCCA